CCUACGGGAGGCAGCAGUAGGGGAUAUUGCUCAAUGGGGGAAACCCUGAAGCAGCAACGCCGCGUGGGGGAUGACGGUUUUCGGAUUGUCAACUCCUUUUGUUAGAGAAGAUAAUGACGGUAUCUAACGAAUAAGCAUCGGCUAACUCAGUGCCAGCAGCCGCGGUAAUACGGAGGGUGCAAGCGUUACUCGGAAUCACUGGGCGGAAAGAGCGCGUAGGCGGGAUAGCAAAUCAGAUGUGAAAUACUAUGGCUUAACCAUAGAACUGCAUUUGAAACUGUUGUUCUAGAGUAUGGGAGAGGUAGGUGGAAUUCUUGGUGGAGGGGUAAAAUGCGUAGAGAUCAAGAGGAAUACUCAUUGCGAAGGCGACCUGCUAGAACAUAACUGACGCUGAGGCGCGAAAGCGUGGGGAGCAAACAGGAUUAGAUACCCCGGUAGUC
This 440-nucleotide ribosomal RNA is filed under the name uncultured bacterium. RNAcentral's name for it is "partial 16S ribosomal RNA". It matches the Rfam family "Bacterial small subunit ribosomal RNA", at positions 338 to 795 of the family's 1533-position model. The record is from RNAcentral.